UUUGUUGUGGAGUACCGAGGUGAACUGCUUACACAACAGGAGAGCGAGGUCCGAGCUGAUCAGUACAAUCAUUCUGAAAAGGUGUUUAUUUUCAAUGGAAAGGAAGAACAUGGUGCAUUGAUGCAUCUGAAGAGGACUCCUCCCUUGGGAGACUCGUUAAUGGUGAUCACGAAAAACACAAUCUCAAAAUGAAGGACAUUCGAGCAAACGAUGAGCCACACUUGUGCCUCUACGCAACUCGAGAUAUUGUAACUGCCGAAGAGUUGACUUAUAGUUACGGUGAUUCUGACUGGCCAUGGACAACACAGGUCAUCAAAGCUGAUGUGUCGUCCAGCCCAAAACCUAUGGUAAGAACUUUACUAAUGUCAUAGAUCAAUAUGAGUUUAUUUUUUCACAUUUACUAUUUCACUUUCACAAAUACACAUUUAUAGUCUAACAUCAAUUGCACUGGAAUGC
Long non-coding RNA from Oncorhynchus tshawytscha (Chinook salmon), 456 nucleotides. RefSeq lists it as uncharacterized. The record is from RefSeq and is a predicted model, not a curated record. The transcript has 3 exons. Lineage: Eukaryota; Metazoa; Chordata; Actinopteri; Salmoniformes; Salmonidae.